CACCUGGCCGCCUGGUCUCGUCUGUCCACCUCUUCUCCCCAGAUUGUCCCCUCCCGGAGUUUUCCGGCUUCUCUCUUCUCCCUUGCUCUGACAGGGAUCCAAGAAAGCUUUUUGGGGGAUGGAAGAGGCAGGAAGUCAGCCCAGUUAAUGUCAAGUACACAAUACUGAAGGUUCCUCGUGGAUUUCCAAAGGACAGUAGCUGCCUCUCAGCAUCUUUUCGUCCAAGUUUCCCAAAGUACCAUCUGAACAAACAUGCCAGAAACAAAAGGUUUCAAAAUGAAUGCUGAGCUCUUGGCACCUUUUCAUGGAUCAACUGGAUCACAUCAGGUCUUGUGUAAACAUUCUAUUGACAAUCAGCAGCAGGAACCAUUUCCCUCUCCUCCUCCUCCAUUGUCGCUGAAGAUCACAUCUGGCUUUGUAUCAGAUUUCUCCCUGUCAACCAACAGACUAAGAAACUAGAUGUAAGCUGGUUGAGCCAUUUGUCAUACUUGCAUAGAUCAAUACUAUAGACAUUACUCUGCAGUUUCCAGCCACAUUAAAAGUUACACACAGAUUCUCUUCUCCCUUGUGCAUCUUUGAACCAAUUUGUGUUAUGGGGUGAGGGAAGAAGAAUUGGCAUGGAAUGUAUUUUAGAGUUUCACUGCAGAAAGACCAGACCAUGAUUCAUUGGCAGAGUUACCCAGAUAUAGAAAUGUCAUGGGAUGUUGCUGACAACAUUCAUGCUCUGUACUUUCUCUGACAUACCUGCACAACCAAAAUAACCUAACUGGUGACCCAUUCUACCUUUGGCAAUAAUCUGCAGUUCUGACUCUAAGAGAGAAGUAAAUUGUUUGGGGGAUAGAAAAGAGACAUCUGUACAACUAAUAAGAGAUGAAGAUUAUCCCAUUCAAAAGGAAGAGUUUUGAAAUGGGCGGUGCUCCUGAUGAAGAAAAUAGAUAAGAUGGAAAUUAAGCUCUGCUUUGAGGAAUCAACUGGAAGUGGAGAUUGGGAGAAAAUAGGAAAUUAUCUCUUAUUUUAAGGUAAGAUAGAUAAGAUAACCUUUAUUGUCAUUUUUAUUCUGUGGGCACAAUGGCACACAUCAAAAAUGAAAUUUAGUUGCCUGCUCUCAAAGUGAAACACAUACAUGAC
Molecule: long non-coding RNA, 1128 nt
Organism: Crotalus tigris (Tiger rattlesnake)
Lineage: Eukaryota; Metazoa; Chordata; Lepidosauria; Squamata; Viperidae
Exons: 4
Source: RefSeq, a predicted model, not a curated record